UUGGCAAUCCCGAGAGGUGAUGAGGGUCGCCGCAAGGCGGACAACUUGAUGAUUCCACGCUUCCAAGAAAAGCUUCGCGUGAGUGUACCUCUGUGCUGACCGUACCGUAAACCGACACAGGUGGGUGGGGAGAACAUCCCAAGGCGCUUGAGAGAACUCGGGUUAAGGAACUCGCAAAUUGACACCGUAACUUCGGGAGAAGGUGUGCCCUUGAGGGUGAGUGACUUCGCGUCAUGAGCCUUUGGGGGUUGCAGAGAAUCGGGGGUAGCGACUGUUUAUCAAAAACACAGGACUCUGCGAAGUCGCAAGACGACGUAUAGGGUCUGACGCCUGCCCGGUGCUGGAAGGUAACAGGAGAUGUCAGGGCAACCGAAGCAUCGAAUCGAAGCCCCAGUAAACGGCGGCCGUAACAAUAACGGUCCUAAGGUAGCGAAAUUCCUUGGCGGGUAAGUUCCGUCCUGCACGAAUGGCGUAACGACUUCCCCACUGUCUCGACCCGGGACUCAGCGAAAUUGAAAUCGGGGUGAAGAUGCCCCGUACCCGCGGCAAGACGGAAAGACCCCGUGAACCUUUACUGCAGCUUGGCACUGGUUUUCGGAUUUGUCUGUGUAGGAUAGGUGGGAGGCUGUGAAGUGGGGCCGCUAGGUUCCACGGAGCCAACGUUGAAAUACCACCCUGACAAAUCUGAAAGCCUAACCGUGACCGUAAGCCGGGUCCGGAACACUGCCUGGUGGGUAGUUUGACUGGGGCGGUCACCUCCGAAAAAGUAACGGAGGCGCGCAAAGGUUCCCUCAGGCUGAUUGGAAACCAGCCGUAGAGUGUAAAAGCACAAGGGAGCUUGACUGCAACUCAUACGAGAGGAGCAGGUACGAAAGUAGGCUUUAGUGAUCCGGUGGUUCUGAAUGGAAGGGCCAUCGCUCAACGGAUAAAAGGUACUCCGGGGAUAACAGGCUUAUCACGCCCAAGAGUUCACAUCGACGGCGUGGUUUGGCACCUCGAUGUCGGCUCAUCGCAUCCUGGGGCUGUAGUAGGUCCCAAGGGUUUGGCUGUUCGCCAAUUAAAGCGGUACGCGAGCUGGGUUCAAAACGUCGUGAGACAGUUUGGUCCCUAUCUGCCGUGGGCGCAGGAGUCUUGAAGUGGAUCUGUCCCUAGUACGAGAGGACCGGGAUGGACGAACCCCUGGUGUUCCGGUUGUUUUGCCAGGGGCAUUGCCGGGUAGCUAUGUUCGGAACGGAUAACCGCUGAAAGCAUCUA
This 1254-nucleotide ribosomal RNA is filed under the name metagenome. RNAcentral describes it as "bacterial LSU rRNA". It matches the Rfam family "Bacterial large subunit ribosomal RNA", at positions 1547 to 2783 of the family's 2925-position model. The record is from RNAcentral.